Molecule: ribosomal RNA, 253 nt
Filed under: uncultured bacterium
Lineage: Bacteria
Description: partial 16S ribosomal RNA
Rfam family: Bacterial small subunit ribosomal RNA
Source: RNAcentral
UACGGAGGGUGCAAGCGUUACUCGGAAUUACUGGGCGUAAAGCGUGCGUAGGCGGUUCGUUAAGUCUGUUGUGAAAGCCCCGGGCUCAACCUGGGAAUGGCAAUGGAUACUGGCGAGCUAGAGUGUGUCAGAGGAUGGUGGAAUUCCCGGUGUAGCGGUGAAAUGCGUAGAGAUCGGGAGGAACAUCAGUGGCGAAGGCGGCCAUCUGGGACAACACUGACGCUGAGGCACGAAAGCGUGGGGAGCAAACAGG